Molecule: ribosomal RNA, 305 nt
Filed under: uncultured bacterium
Lineage: Bacteria
Description: bacterial SSU rRNA
Rfam family: Bacterial small subunit ribosomal RNA
Source: RNAcentral
UUCCUACGGGGCGCAGCAGUGGGGAAUAUUGGGCAAUGGGCGCAAGCCUGACCCAGCAACGCCGCGUGAAGGAAGAAGGCUUUCGGGUUGUAAACUUCUUUCCUGAGGGACGAAGAAAGUGACGGUACCUCAGGAAUAAGCCACGGCUAACUACGUGCCAGCAGCCGCGGUAAUACGUAGGUGGCAAGCGUUAUCCGGAUUUACUGGGUGUAAAGGGAGCGCAGGCGGCACGGCAAGCCUGAUGUGAAAGCCCGCGGCCCAACCGCGGGACUGCAUUGGGAACUACCGGGCUGGAGUGCCGGAGG